AAUAGAUACCCUGGUAGUCCACGCCGUAAACGAUGGAUACUAGCUGUUUGAGCGCAAGUUUGAGUGGCUAAGCGAAAGUGAUAAGUAUCCCACCUGGGGAGUACGGGCGCAAGCCUGAAACUCAAAGGAAUUGACGGGGGCCCGCACAAGCGGUGGAGCAUGUGGUUUAAUUCGAUGAUACGCGAGGAACCUUACCAGGGCUUAAAUGUAGAUUGACGUAUUUGGAAACAGAUAUUUCUUCGGACAAUUUACAAGGUGCUGCAUGGUUGUCGUCAGCUCGUGCCGUGAGGUGUCAGGUUAAGUCCUAUAACGAGCGCAACCCCUGUUGUUAGUUGCCAGCGAGUAAUGUCGGGAACUCUAGCAAGACUGCCAGUGUAAACUGUGAGGAAGGUGGGGAUGACGUCAAAUCAUCACGGCCCUUACGUCCUGGGCCACACACGUGCUACAAUGGCCGGUACAGAGAGCAGCCACUUAGCGAUAAGGAACGAAUCUAUAAAGCCGGUCACAGUUCGGAUCGGAGUCUGCUAAC
This 529-nucleotide ribosomal RNA is filed under the name uncultured bacterium. Its description in RNAcentral is "bacterial SSU rRNA". It matches the Rfam family "Bacterial small subunit ribosomal RNA", at positions 777 to 1312 of the family's 1533-position model. The record is from RNAcentral.